Long non-coding RNA from Pieris napi, 610 nucleotides. RefSeq lists it as uncharacterized. The record is from RefSeq and is a predicted model, not a curated record. NCBI's taxonomy places the organism in Eukaryota, Metazoa, Arthropoda, Insecta, Lepidoptera, Pieridae. The transcript is spliced from 2 exons.
UGAAUACUGACGAAAACGAGGGCUACACGAUCCCCGUGCGUUUUGAGAAUAAAUAAUCGAUUUCAGUAAUGACAGCCAUGACUUUGGCAUAAGCAAUUUCACGCUGAUAUAAUAAAUUAUAAUUAAUAUAAUAUACAAAUCGAGACAGUAUAUAAGCCACGAUUCAAUCGGUAAAAUCGUAUUAUCCAAUCCAACAACAUGAAGCUGUUUAUAUUGUGUGCUUUUCUCCUGAUCGUUGGUGUAGCAGCGAGCACUGAACUUUUUUGCAUGUGUCACCCAGAACCCGACAUAUGCGCAAGCAACCAUAUAACAUAUUCGGGAGUAUGUGACAUGAAUUGCGACGCGCAUAGAUUAGGAGUCAAACUCUACGUCUUACACGAUGGGCCAUGCUAAAACUACAGUUCAGAAAUAAGUAAUUAAAUACUAUCAUUAUAAAAAUUAUAUUUUAUUAAAAACAAAUAUUUAUUAGAUACAAAAACAUCAUAUUUUGUAAAUUUCAUUAAUUUGUUUUUGUUUAGAGUAACUAUACUGCGGUAACAAUAUGUUAUCGCAGUAUAGAAAAGAUAAGAUCAACGAAAAUAAUACAAAUGAGUAAAAGUAUUUCUAUUUA